Molecule: RNA transcript, 787 nt
Organism: Cebus imitator (Panamanian white-faced capuchin)
Lineage: Eukaryota; Metazoa; Chordata; Mammalia; Primates; Cebidae
Exons: 4
Source: RefSeq, a predicted model, not a curated record
GUUAGAGCAGCCCAGUUCAGCCCUAUGUGGUAUGUGAGGGUAUUCACAGCGAAAAGCAGGGGUCCUGGAUCAGCCUCUCUCUCCCUCCCUCAAAGGCACAGUGGAUUCUGCUGUACAGAACAGGGAGCACUGCAUCUCAGGAAGCCUGCAAGGGAAGGACACAGGACAAUUACAUCACAGGAUACCCCUCCCAUCAGGAAAAGUGAGGCUGAGAACUCAGCUCCUCCCCAGGAGGACCGAGCCCUGAGCACAGGCAGAGUGUUGCCUGACCCUUCGUGCCAUGGGCUUCAGGCUGCUCUGUUGGGUGCUGCUUUGUCUCCCGGGAGCAGGCCUGGGAGAGGCUCAAGUCACCCAAACUCCAAGACACCUGAUCAAAAUGAGAGGACAGCAAGUGACACUGAGGUGCUCCCCUAUCUCUGGGCAUAACAGUGUGUACUGGUACCAACAGGCCCCAGGACAGGGCCCUCAGUUCAUCUUUGAAUACUACAAUGCGAUGCCGAGACAACAGGGAAACUUCCCUGCUCGAUUCUCAGGGCUCCAGUUCUCUAACUAUAGCUCUGAGAUGAAUGUGAGCGCCUUGGAGCUGGGGGACUCGGCCCUUUAUCUUUGUGCCAGCAGCUUGGCACAGCCCUACAAAGCCAACCACAUUCUGUGCACAAACCUCCCUGGCCCAAUGUGGAGCAACCUCAGCCCUGACGUAUCUGUGAGAAUCUGGGGACUGCAGGGGGAAAGAAAGGACAAGGGAUCUCAUUUUGCGGUCAAGAUUGUUGAUAACAGCAUAGUGUAG